This 253-nucleotide ribosomal RNA is filed under the name uncultured bacterium. Its description in RNAcentral is "partial 16S ribosomal RNA". It matches the Rfam family "Bacterial small subunit ribosomal RNA", at positions 524 to 776 of the family's 1533-position model. The record is from RNAcentral.
UACGGAGGGAGCUAGCGUUGUUCGGAUAUACUGGGCGUAAAGCGCACGUAGGCGGCGCAGCAAGUCAGGGGUGAAAUCCCGGAGCUCAACUCCGGAACUGCCUUUGAAACUGCAGUGCUAGAAUCCUGGAGAGGCGAGUGGAAUUUACGGUGUAGCAGUGAAAUGCGUAGAUAUCGUAAGGAAGACCAGUGGCGAAGGCGGAUCUCUGGACAGUUACUGACACUGAGGCACGAAGGCCAGGGGAGCAAACGGG